CCUACGGGCGGCUGCAGUGGGGAAUAUUGCACAAUGGGCGAAAGCCUGAUGCAGCAACGCCGCGUGAGUGAUGAAGGCCUUCGGGUUGUAAAACUCUGUCUUCUGGGACGAUAAUGACGGUACCAGAGGCGGAAGCCACGGCUAACUACGUGCCAGCAGCCGCGGUAAUACGUAGGUGGCAAGCGUUGUCCGGAUUUACUGGGCGGAAAGAAUGCGUAGGCGGAUAUUUAAGUCAGAUGUGAAAUCCCCGGGCUUAACUCGGGAGCUGCAUUUGAAACUGGAUAUCUAGAGUGCGGGAGAGGUAAGUGGAAUUCCUAGUGUAGCGGUGAAAUGCGUAGAGAUUAGGAAGAACACCAGUGGCGAAGGCGACUUACUGGACCGUAACUGACGCUGAGGCAUGAAAGCGUGGGGAGCAAACAGGAUUAGAUACCCGAGUAGUC
This 440-nucleotide ribosomal RNA is filed under the name uncultured bacterium. RNAcentral describes it as "partial 16S ribosomal RNA". It matches the Rfam family "Bacterial small subunit ribosomal RNA", at positions 338 to 795 of the family's 1533-position model. The record is from RNAcentral.